GGGGCUGGCUUUGAACUUGCAAUCCUCCUGCCUCAGCUUCCCGAACUGCUGGAAUUACAGGCAAGCACCACCAUGCCCGCUGAUAUAAAAUGUCUUUUGGUGUCACAAUCUAAACUAGGGGGUUUGUUGAGAGUGUUGGGUGCAGAGCAGGCUGAAAUGUGUUGUCUGCAGGGCAGGCUGAACAGAUGUUGGCUGCAAGAUAGCCCACGCACUCAAACCCCCCUCUAUCUGGUCCUUUAUCACCUGUUUGCCUCAAGUCUCAACAUUCAACCCUGCUCAAGGCUGAACACUUAACCCCCCCUUGGGCCAACAAGGCAGCUUGCAGACUCAGAGGCCCCAUUAGAUUUGGGCUAUAAAAACUCCCUCCUGCCAGGCCCCCCUCUCUCUUGCUCUUUCUCUCUUGCUCUCUCUCUCUUGCUCUUUAUCUUUCUUACGCGCGCUCUCUGUCUCUCUCUUGCUCUUGCUCUCUCCCUGUUCAUCUCUUCUCUUUUCUCUCUCUCUCUUUCCUUCUUUCCUUUCUUUUUGUUGCACUGCUGCAAUAAAGAUCUUUUGGUUGCUCUGAGUGUUGUGGUCACUUUCCUUCAUUGGUGCCGAAACCCGGGAGAGGGUUAAAACCCACUUUUGGGUCCCUCUUCCUUCGGAAAUGCCACUCACUGGAUGGCCUGAACCCAGGCCUGAACCCAUUUUCUCGACUGCCAGAACUCCAUCCACCACCAGCCUUCGAUUGAAGUUCAUGCAAGAUCAGAUACACAAAUUCACCAGCAAGCUGGUCAAUCAACUACUUCUUUAAGACUACCAGCCCUGAUGCCCAAGAUGGACACCUACGACUCAUGACCAACUCCUCUGGCUCCAGAGACUCUGUGCCCAUCUAAAACCCUCUCUAACCCUUUUUCCAAUUUUCACAACCCCUCUUUCACUUCCUAGGAAUGAGAACUACUCUCCAGCACGUCCACUCUGCUUAUUCUGUCUGCUCUACAGUAUCCCCACAAGGAAGCAUCAAACCUAAACUCCCCCUGGUACCACCAUGUCUCCCACCUUAAAAAGGCACUUGUUCCAAAUGUCCAGUCCUGGACUUCCACCAUGCCCACCAAACUCAAAAUUUCUUGCCAACCCUCUUCUUCUUUUACUAAACAUUAUUCUCUCUCAAGUUUUUAUCUCAAACCACAAGCGACAUGACACCACCCACUCUCAGUUUAUGGGUUAAGGCGAUUGCCCUUCCACUGGCUGCAAUCAGGCUGUCACUCUUAACAUUACUGGAUUCAACCAAGCCACCUCCAAUACUUCCUAGAGUCCCUGCUACAGGACAAGUGGCCGAUACCAAGAAUCUCCUCCAUCCAGGACUGGUUUGAUGCCAUUGAGGACUUGUGGCUUCAAGGAACUUUUAUGGACUUUACCCCUACCACAGUAGUUGUCUGUAGCCACUGAGUGUUAUUUCUGCUCUGGUGUUCUCAGACCUGUCCCCCGAACAUUCCUCCACUUCCCCUUCUAGGUCCAACGCCGUCCCCCAUGUCACUUAGAAAACCAAAAAGGGAGGAAUGUUGGGUGCAGAGCAGGCUGAACUGUGUUGUCUGCAGGGCAGGCUGAACAGAUGUUGGCUGCAAGAUAGCCCACGCACUCAAACCCCCCUCUAUCUGGUCCUUUAUCACCUGUUUGCCUCAAGUCUGAACAUUCAACCCUGCUCAAGGCUGAACACUUAACCCCCCCUUGGGCCAACAAGGCAGCAUGCAGACUCAGAGGCCCCAUUAGAUUUGGGCUAUAAAAACCUCCCUCCUGCCAGGCCCCCCUCUCUCUUGCUCUUUCUCUCUUGCUCUCUCUCUCUUGCUCUUUAUCUUUCUUACGCGCGCUCUCUGUCUCUCUCUUGCUCUUGCUCUCUCCCUGUUCAUCUCUUCUCUUUUCUCUCUCUCUCUUUCCUUCUUUCCUUUCUCUUUUUUGCACUGCUGCAAUAAAGAUCUUUUGGUUGCUCUGA
Long non-coding RNA from Marmota monax (woodchuck), 1966 nucleotides. RefSeq lists it as uncharacterized. Lineage: Eukaryota; Metazoa; Chordata; Mammalia; Rodentia; Sciuridae. The record is from RefSeq and is a predicted model, not a curated record. The transcript has 2 exons.